GACGAACGCUGGCGGCGUGCUUAACACAUGCAAGUCGAACGGAAAGGCCCUGCUUGCAGGGUACUCGAGUGGCGAACGGGUGAGUAACACGUGGGUGAUCUGCCCUGCACUUCGGGAUAAGCCUGGGAAACUGGGUCUAAUACCGGAUAGGAGCCAUUUUUAGUGUGAUGGUUGGAAAGUUUUUUCGGUGUAGGAUGAGCUCGCGGCCUAUCAGCUUGUUGGUGGGGUAAUGGCCUACCAAGGCGGCGACGGGUAGCCGGCCUGAGAGGGUGGACGGCCACAAUGGGACUGAGGUACGGCCCAGGCUCCUACGGGAGGCAGCAGUGGGGAAUAUUGCACAAUGGGCGCAAGCCUGAUGCAGCGACGCCGCGUGGGGGAUGACGGCCUUCGGGUUGUAAACUCCUUUCGCUAGGGACGAAGCUUUUUGUGACGGUACCUAGAUAAGAAGCACCGGCUAACUACGUG
Molecule: ribosomal RNA, 465 nt
Filed under: uncultured bacterium
Lineage: Bacteria
Description: partial 16S ribosomal RNA
Rfam family: Bacterial small subunit ribosomal RNA
Source: RNAcentral